GGCUUCGUAGCUCAGCUGGUAGAGCGCUUGCCGCGUAGAGGCACGGUGUUUCUGUCGGUGGUUCGAAUCCAGCCGAAGCCC
RNAcentral lists this transfer RNA (81 nucleotides) under Paragonimus heterotremus. It matches the Rfam family "tRNA". From Rfam's summary of the family: Transfer RNA (tRNA) molecules are approximately 80 nucleotides in length. Their secondary structure includes four short double-helical elements and three loops (D, anti-codon, and T loops). Lineage: Eukaryota; Metazoa; Platyhelminthes; Trematoda; Plagiorchiida; Troglotrematidae. The record is from Rfam by way of RNAcentral.